Molecule: long non-coding RNA, 1413 nt
Organism: Anthonomus grandis grandis
Lineage: Eukaryota; Metazoa; Arthropoda; Insecta; Coleoptera; Curculionidae
Exons: 2
Source: RefSeq, a predicted model, not a curated record
CGCAUUCGGGAAUCGCAACUCGAUGCCUGUCACGCUACCUCACUCGAUCAAUCAAGUGCGACAGCGCAUCUGUCAUACUUGAUUGGUCGAUAUUUCAUAUGAUCUGCAUUAAUUUACAUAAUGUAAGUCAUGGUUUAAUUCAAACAAUUCAAACUCGCGCCACUCCCACUUCGGUGUUUGAUUAUUUGGAGAUACGCUACACUGCAACUUGGUGGAGAUGAAGCAAGUGAAAGGAAGUUGCAAUUUACGAGAGUUUAAAAAUUCAGAGAUUGGAGGGACACUGACUUUGAAUGGUCUCAGAUUAUGUUUAUUUUUUUAAAAAACUAUUAUUUCCUUAUAAUCGCCUUUGGCAAGCUUUAUUUUCUAUAGCUGAAAUGAUAUUUAAUUUUGGCAGAAUUUUUGGAAAAUUUAUUAUUUAUUUGUUUAUUAAUAGUUUGUCAAACUAUUAAUAAACCAUUUAUUGUUUUGCAAAACACUUUCCUUCCAUCCGUAAGAAAAAUGUAAAAAUCCUUCAUGAGUGCCCCAAAAGAAAGAAGCUUGACUUAUAAGAGAAGUUGGAGAUCACAAAGGGCAAAAAGGAGUCCUGUACUGUCUUGUGUGAAUGAUGUUUUUACCUUUGAACCGCAUUUAAUUUUAAACAAUCUUAAUCACGACCUGGAUAGCACGUAAAUUUAGCGCUUGCCUACGAACCCGAUGAGCGCUGGUUUAAUUCUCCACCAAGUCAUUUUUAUUUGUUGCUUUAUUUCAGUUCUUCCGUUCAACUUAACCUCAUUCUGCUUGUUUUUUUUUUACUUUUAUUUUAUUUAGUUUUGAAACCGGAUAUAAUGUGAACGUCAGCAAUAUUUUUUAUAUAUUUUUUUUUUUAAAUAAACAUAAUCUAGAGACCAUUGACUUUGUGUCCCUCCAAUCUCUGAAUUUUUAUUAUUAAGAGGUCUCUUUAAGAAAAAUGGACUACUUUUUUGAAUUACGAGAGUUUACUGUACACUUAUCGCAAGAAAAUCUACAGCAUAAAGGAACAAUGAAAGUAAAUUUAGUUUUGGCGGAACAUUAUAAUUAGUGUUAACCAAUCGAUAAACGAACACCGCAUCUGUUAAUUGCCGUCUAUCAGAGAGUGAGAAGAGGUAAAAACUAAGUUUAUGGGUUUCAAUGGUCAGCCGUAUAAUGAUGCUGCACUGCAAAUAUAUAUUCAAAAUAGUUGAAUAGAAGUCCAUAUUCUGUAGAAGAAUGUGUAUAUAAAGAUUACAAAAUGGGAGUCUUUAUCUCCAAGAAAAAUGCAUGUAGGUCAUCUGGAAUUUUGAAUGUAUAAACUGCCAAAAUUACUAUCUUACUAUAUUAUACCUUAGCUUUCAGAAUAUUAUUUUUAUUUCGGAUUUAUUCACAUUGUUUUGCUAAAAUAAAUAUCAAUUAAAUUAA